CGCUUCCUCAUGCUGACAUAUUUACUAGAGGGUAAAAUCAACAGACUUCUGGUAAGAGUGGCAGUCGAAGGGAAGGG
Non-coding RNA from Cricetulus griseus (Chinese hamster), 77 nucleotides. The record is from Rfam. NCBI's taxonomy places the organism in Eukaryota, Metazoa, Chordata, Mammalia, Rodentia, Cricetidae.